GUGCUUGUUUCAACAACACAUAUGCUAAAAUUGGAAUGAUACAGAGAAAACUAGCAUGGCCUGUAAGGAUGACAUGUAAAUUUGUGAAGUGUUCCAUAAAAUA
Molecule: small nuclear RNA, 103 nt
Filed under: Castor canadensis (American beaver)
Lineage: Eukaryota; Metazoa; Chordata; Mammalia; Rodentia; Castoridae
Source: RNAcentral